This 466-nucleotide ribosomal RNA is filed under the name uncultured bacterium. Its description in RNAcentral is "partial 16S ribosomal RNA". It matches the Rfam family "Bacterial small subunit ribosomal RNA", at positions 28 to 507 of the family's 1533-position model. The record is from RNAcentral.
GAUGAACGCUGGCGGCGUGCUUAACACAUGCAAGUCGAACGGAAAGGCCACAGCUUGCUGUGGUACUCGAGUGGCGAACGGGUGAGUAACACGUGGGUGAUCUGCCCUGCACUUCGGGAUAAGCUUGGGAAACUGGGUCUAAUACCGGAUAGGAAUCACAUGUGGGUGUGUGGUUGGAAAGCUUUUGCGGUAUGGGAUGAGCUCGCGGCCUAUCAGCUUGUUGGUGGGGUAAUGGCCUACCAAGGCGUCGACGGGUAGCCGGCCUGAGAGGGUGUACGGCCACAUUGGGACUGAGAUACGGCCCAGACUCCUACGGGAGGCAGCAGUGGGGAAUAUUGCACAAUGGGCGCAAGCCUGAUGCAGCGACGCCGCGUGGGGGAUGACGGCCUUCGGGUUGUAAACUCCUUUCGUCAGGGACGAAGCGAAAGUGACGGUACCUGGAUAAGAAGCACCGGCUAACUACGUG